RNAcentral lists this ribosomal RNA (235 nucleotides) under uncultured bacterium. RNAcentral's name for it is "partial 16S ribosomal RNA". It matches the Rfam family "Bacterial small subunit ribosomal RNA", at positions 1257 to 1500 of the family's 1533-position model. The record is from RNAcentral.
GUGACCGGAUGCCGAUCUCGAAAACCUGUCCCAGUUCGGACUGGAGUCUGCAACCCGACUCCACGAAGUUGGAUUCGCUAGUAAUCGCGCAUCAGCCAUGGCGCGGUGAAUACGUUCCCGGGCCUUGUACACACCGCCCGUCAAGCCAUGGGAGCCGGGGGCGCCUGAAGUCCGGGACCGCGAGGACCGGCCUAAGGCGAAACUGGUGACUGGGGCUAAGUCGUAACAAGGUAUC